Molecule: long non-coding RNA, 543 nt
Filed under: Suricata suricatta (meerkat)
Lineage: Eukaryota; Metazoa; Chordata; Mammalia; Carnivora; Herpestidae
Description: lncRNA (ENSSSUG00005022815.1)
Source: RNAcentral
AUGCAGCAGCACGUGACCAAAUCAACGAACACGCCCAAGUGCAGCCUGUGGUUCCACACCAAUGAAAGAAGGGCAAGGUUUCCGUGGCAUGUGGCACCGGGCACCAGGCGGGGGCUCACGCCGUGGCACACGAAGGGCUGGACUUCAGGGCUGUGCGGCAGGGGAAGGAGGGCACAGCACAGCGGUCGGUUUGCAGGAUGGAGGCUUCGAUCUGAUGCGGGACCCCUGAGGGGCCAAGCCUGGACCAUGGACAAGUGUGAGCACUUGGGGAAAGGAAGUGGCCGGGAGCUGGAGGCAAGAGCCCGUCCCUUGACUCCCCCUCGAAGAAAUCCCCAGAGGCCAUUUCCUGGGUGCAGACCCCAGACUCCUCUCUCCUUGGCCAAGAAUCCAGAGGACGUCCCUUUUGCAGAGCGCCCGAAUCUCCUCCUCCCAAGUUCCCUUCUUGUUGCUGUGAACAAAUGCCUGGAGACAUCUGGCUCAGAGACCUUGGAGGGACUCCCUCAGAGACUAAUACUGCAUCCAAACCAAAGCUGGAGAAUCUGA